RNAcentral lists this non-coding RNA (30 nucleotides) under Mus musculus (house mouse). The record is from RNAcentral. Lineage: Eukaryota; Metazoa; Chordata; Mammalia; Rodentia; Muridae.
GUGCUGAGAUUGCUGGCAUGUACCACCAUA